Molecule: ribosomal RNA, 250 nt
Filed under: uncultured prokaryote
Description: partial 16S ribosomal RNA
Rfam family: Bacterial small subunit ribosomal RNA
Source: RNAcentral
UACGGAAGGUCCGGGCGUUAUCCGGAUUUAUUGGGUUUAAAGGGAGCGCAGGCGGGCAUUUAAGCGUGACGUGAAAUGUGGCGGCUCAACCGCCGAACUGCGUCGCGAACUAGGUGCCUUGAGUGAGUGCGACGUCAGCGGAAUUCGUGGUGUAGCGGUGAAAUGCUUAGAUAUCACGAAGAACCCCGAUUGCGAAGGCAGCUGACGAGUCCUUUACUGACGCUAAAGCUCGAAAGUGCGGGUAUCGAAC